Molecule: long non-coding RNA, 1159 nt
Filed under: Macaca mulatta (Rhesus monkey)
Lineage: Eukaryota; Metazoa; Chordata; Mammalia; Primates; Cercopithecidae
Description: lncRNA (ENSMMUG00000059729.1)
Source: RNAcentral
UCCUCAUUUAUCCUAGGAUGGCAGGACCUGCAGAUUCUUGAUUAGAUUUUAGAUGCAAAUAAAGAACUUGGAAUUAUUCCCCAAGAAGCUCCUUCUUCUGAAACCAAGAGGGGACUACAUGAUUCUAUCUGAUGACAACCAGUCUGUGAUCUCAGGUAUAAAAUGCAAUGUCCUAUUGUAAUAAUGGCUGGCAUUACACCCAACAUCUAGAAGAAAAAAACAAUGAUGUCAGAGGGCAGUCAUCUUGAGUGAAUAAAAGGCAAGAGGUGUAUUGCAAAUUCUAAUGCACUUCAUCAUAGAAUUUUAAUUAACUAUUUCAUUCACACCAAUUGGGGUCUAUUAAAGCAAUUAUUUCUGAGAAGCAAUCUUUGGGAAAUUCAGGUAAAAAAAGACAACUUCUGUCUUCUGGAACAAUAAUGUUGUGACUGUCUACACCUAAUAAAAGGUGACUGUGUAGCCAGGUGUGGUGGCACACGCCUGUAAUUCCAGCUACUCAGGAGGCUGAGGAAUGAGAACCGCUUGAACCUGGGAAGUGGAGGUUGCAGUGAGCAGAGAUUGCGCCAUUGCACUCAAGGUUAGACAACAGUGAGACUCUGUCCCCUGCCCCCCCAAAAAAGUGACCAUGCAAGAUUUGCCCUGGGAUAUAGUUUAAUUACAUAACAUACUCUGAAAAUAAGCAAAUUACUUACAUACAUGCUUUGAUCUUUCUCUAUCUGAGGAAAGGGAAGAACACAGUUCACCUCUCUAGAAGUUGCUUCUGAGAACUAUGGUCCAUGCUCCAUUCUGAAUCCACAAGGAAAGGCCUUCACACUAUACGUGGCAAUUGCAAUUAGUUAUUGUCUUCUGGUUACGGCAUGAUGGGCUGAUUGCCUUAGUUAUGUCAGAGAGGUGUUUGAAGAGCCUAUUGUGACUUGCCUCUUUUUAAAGGGCUUGAGUUUUAACCGACUAAUAAUACACUUUGAUAUUGUCUGCAGUUUUUAACAAGUGUUUUUAUUUGUGCUUAAUACUCAUUAGUAUGACUAGGUAAUUUUUAAGGUUCACUCACCAGGGAAUUUGGUUUCAUGGAUCAUUAGGGGCCUGGAUUAUAGGCCCCUCACGACACUUAGCAACUGAAUCAUACUGAACAAUAGAAUCUCCUUGAACGUUUGCCUUUUUAAAA